Molecule: non-coding RNA, 1948 nt
Organism: Lolium perenne
Lineage: Eukaryota; Viridiplantae; Streptophyta; Magnoliopsida; Poales; Poaceae
Source: RefSeq, a predicted model, not a curated record
CUCCCUGAUGCCAAGCUCUACCUGUGCCGCCGCCCUCCCCUUCAACUUCAAGCUCCGGCACGGCCCUCAGCAUCCACUCCAAGUCCACCCCAUUCCUUCCCGCAGCAGGUCGACCCGCCGGCGCAGGCUUCCCCCACCGCCGUCCUUCGCUUCGACCUCCGGCAACAACGCCAUGGACUCAAAUCGAACCGACGCCUCCUCGCCUCCUCUCCUGCAGCGCCCCACGGAGGAGGAGACCUGGUGGUGGCGGACCGAGCCGUGGAACUCCAUGGGCUGACCUGGUGCCUCGCCGUCGGGGACGACCUGGGUGACGCGACCGUUCCUCUUGCCGGCGGGAGCGGCGCAGGAAUGGCGACAGGAGGCCGAUGGUCACCUUCCUGAGGUGCUGAUGCCGACGCUUGCCAAGAACCCGAACUGCUGCUCCUCAGGCCGACCACCACUUCGUCCGCUGCUUCCCCAAACAGGUGUUGCUCCUGAUGCGGGCUGCUGCUGGUGUCGCCGAAGAGGAUGCCAGCGUCCUCGUGUCAUGUUGCUUGAUGGCAACUACAGCGACGAGAGGGAGCAUGGCAGCAACGUGUGGUGACGAAGAGGAAGAUGGAUGAUAAAUUGGGUGAGAGGUGUGUGCCGGAUUAGCGGAUGGGCACUUCUCGUAAGCAAUGGCCUGGAAGAGGGCUCGGUACGCGAACACGACGAAUGGAGAACCCUUGUAGAAAACGUUGAAUGACAUCAACACCGAUCUCCCUAAGCUCCUUGUGGUGGUCUUCCGGGAGCAAAAGUAGGUGUCUUCCGGGAGAUGGUGGAGGGACAACUGGACCGUGAUGCUUGUUUAGUUCAAGCCUUCCACCAGGGUUUGGCUCUCCGAUGUAGCUCCUUGAGGAUGCACCUGAAACUCUCUACUUCGCAUGUGCCGCAGCAGGCAUGUCCUGCUGGGGGUAGAUUUAUGCAUAUAGAAGAGAGGUACUCAUAAGAUGGUGGAGGAGGCAAGCUACAUAUAGAAGAGAGAUUGGUGGAGCUAGUGAAGUUUAAGUUGGUGAGAAAAAAGAUAGGGUCACAAAUGCUCGAAAUGCUGGAAGAGCUGUUGUUAAGGAGGGUAUUGUCCUAGGCUGAUGACCAAAGCUGCAAAUGAUGGUGUUGAUGGUCGGUUCCUCUCUGAGUUUGAUCAGUUUUGAGACACGCGAUGGUCUUUGUUAUCAAAUAGCUUGUCUUCUCGAACAGUGGGAUUCGAGGUCAUCAAUGUGUGUGACGAGUUCAUCAUGCCGCAACAGUGGUGGUGAUGAUGCUCGGCCUCGUCUACAACUUCUCCAGUGAGCUACUAGUUUACCCUUUCGAUCUCUGGUUCGCAUCUGCUCUGUGAUGACCUGUAUUUGAAUUAUGGUGAUGAUGAUCAAUGGCCACCUAUUUUCUAAGUGAAGAUGUCAACAUCUGGGCAUGGUUAUUGUCCCGGUGCUUGUAUUUUCUAUUGAUAGAUGAUUUUGUGUUGUAGGCCUGAAAAUGCUGCCAUUUAGUUGUGAAUAAUACUGUUUGGUAUUGUGUGGUUUUGAUAUUUGAUUGAUUUAGAUCACUGUAUAAUUGGUUUGCUGCAACUAUAUAUCUUGCUUUUCAGAUAAGAAUCUUGUUGUAGAUAUAAUGUGUUCUUGUCCCUUCCUUAAUCCGCAAUGAUUUUGUAUCUUGAACAACAGUAUCUAUCUGCAACUUAUAAGUUGAGAAACUGAUUUGGCUUGCUAUAUCUGUUUGGUUUUCCGUUUUGUUGCCUAUUUUUUAAUGUGACUUUACUGUGUAAUGCAUGAGGAAACAUUUAGCUUGGAACAACCUGAUCUACCAUUGUCCCUGGAUACAAUUGAUUCCUCAUAUACGAGUUCUGUAGUUAUUGCGACUGUACUUGGCUGAUGUGCUCAUCCCUUGUUCUGGCACUGUUUGAUUUUAUUCCUAGUUCUCCUUGAUUCUUGGA